RNAcentral lists this transfer RNA (65 nucleotides) under Neohydatothrips samayunkur. RNAcentral describes it as "tRNA-Leu". Lineage: Eukaryota; Metazoa; Arthropoda; Insecta; Thysanoptera; Thripidae. The record is from RNAcentral.
ACUUAUUUAGUAGAAAUUACAUUGAUAUUAAAAAUCAAAGAUAAGGUUUAUACCCUUUUUAAGUA